Molecule: non-coding RNA, 214 nt
Organism: Paramuricea clavata
Lineage: Eukaryota; Metazoa; Cnidaria; Anthozoa; Malacalcyonacea; Plexauridae
Source: the annotation of a GenBank genome assembly
CCCUUGCAAGCUGUCUGAAACAUGUUUUACAACGUGGUAGCAGUAGCCCCUGCUAACUGUCUUGUCAUUAUUAAACUGAGUAUUACGAAAAAAUGGCAGCUGCCCUUGCUAACUGCUGAAACAAGCCUUAAGUGUAUAGCACAAAGCGAGUUGCACAACCAGAUAAUAAUUUGGCAAACCUAAGAAAAACAUGGCAGAAAGGUAUUGUCAGCCC